Molecule: ribosomal RNA, 253 nt
Filed under: uncultured bacterium
Lineage: Bacteria
Description: partial 16S ribosomal RNA
Rfam family: Bacterial small subunit ribosomal RNA
Source: RNAcentral
UACAGAGGUCCCAAGCGUUGUUCGGAUUCACUGGGCGUAAAGGGUGCGUAGGCGGUUUGGCAAGUCUGAUGUGAAAUCCCGCAGCUUAACUGCGGAACUGCAUUGGAAACUGUUUGACUAGAGGAAUGGAGGGGAGACUGGAAUACUUGGUGUAGCAGUGAAAUGCGUAGAUAUCAAGUGGAACACCAGUGGCGAAGGCAGGUCUCUGGGCCGAUACUGACGCUGAGGAGCGAAAGCGUGGGGAGCGAACAGG